Molecule: ribosomal RNA, 744 nt
Filed under: uncultured bacterium
Lineage: Bacteria
Description: bacterial SSU rRNA
Rfam family: Bacterial small subunit ribosomal RNA
Source: RNAcentral
AAUUUGAAAUGACUGAGCGGCGGACGGGUGAGUAACGCGGGGGUAACCUGCCUCAUACAGGGGGAUAACAGUUAGAAAUGACUGCUAAUACCGCAUAAGCACACAGUACCGCAUGGUACAGAGUGAAAAACUCCGGUGGUAUGAGAUGGACCCGCGUCUGAUUAGCUGGUUGGCGGGGUAACGGCCCACCAAGGCGACGAUCAGUAGCCGACCUGAGAGGGUGACCGGCCACAUUGGGACUGAGACACGGCCCAAACUCCUACGGGAGGCAGCAGUGGGGAAUAUUGCACAAUGGGGGAAACCCUGAUGCAGCAACGCCGCGUGUGUGAAGAAGUAUUUCGGUAUGUAAAGCUCUAUCAGCAGGGAAGAAAGUGACGGUACCUGACUAAGAAGCCCCGGCUAACUACGUGCCAGCAGCCGCGGUAAUACGUAGGGGGCAAGCGUUAUCCGGAUUUACUGGGUGUAAAGGGAGCGUAGACGGCACAGCAAGUCUGAAGUGAAAUCCCCGGGCUCAACCCGGGAACUGCUUUGGAAACUGUUGGGCUAGAGUGCUGGAGAGGCAAGCGGAAUUCCUAGUGUAGCGGUGAAAUGCGUAGAUAUUAGGAGGAACACCAGUGGCGAAGGCGGCUUGCUGGACAGUAACUGACGUUGAGGCUCGAAAGCGUGGGGAGCAAACAGGAUUAGAUACCCUGGUAGUCCACGCCGUAAACGAUGCAUACUAGGUGUCGGGGAGCAAAGCUUUCC